This 468-nucleotide ribosomal RNA is filed under the name uncultured bacterium. Its description in RNAcentral is "partial 16S ribosomal RNA". It matches the Rfam family "Bacterial small subunit ribosomal RNA", at positions 28 to 507 of the family's 1533-position model. The record is from RNAcentral.
GACGAACGCUGGCGGCGUGCUUAACACAUGCAAGUCGAACGGACAGGCCCUGCUUUUGUGGGGUGCUCGAGUGGCGAACGGGUGUGUAACACGUGAGUAACCUGCCCUUGACUUUGGGAUAACUCCAGGAAACUGGGGCUAAUACCGGAUAUGAUCUCCUGCUGCAUGGUGGGGGUUGGAAAGUUUCGGCGGUUGGGGAUGGACUCGCGGGUUAUCAGCUUGUUGGUGGGGUAGUGGCUUACCAAGGUUUUGACGGGUAGCCGGCCUGAGAGGGUGACCGGCCACAUGGGGACUGCGAUACGGCCCAGACUCCUACGGGAGGCAGCAGUGGGGAAUAUUGCACAAUGGGCGGAAGCCUGAUGCAGCAACGCCGCGUGCGGGAUGACGGCCUUCGGGUUGUAAACCGCUUUCGACUGUGACGAAGCGUGAGUGACGGUAAUGGGUAAAGAAGCACCGGCUAACUACGUG